CCUACGGGUGGCAGCAGUGGGGAAUAUUGGACAAUGGGGGGAACCCUGAUCCAGCCAUGCCGCGUGUGUGAAGAAGGCCCUCGGGUUGUAAAGCACUUUCAGUGAGGAAGAACGCCUGGUGGUUAAUACCCAUCAGGAAAGACAUCACUCACAGAAGAAGCACCGUCUAACUCCGUGCCAGCAGCCGCGGUAAUACGGAGGGUGCGAGCGUUAAUCGGAAUUACUGGGCGUAAAGCGCGCGUAGGUGGCUUGAUAAGCCGGUUGUGAAAGCCCCGGGCUCAACCUGGGAACGGCAUCCGGAACUGUCAAGCUAGAGUGCAGGAGAGGAAGGUAGAAUUCCCGGUGUAGCGGUGAAAUGCGUAGAGAUCGGGAGGAAUACCAGUGGCGAAGGCGGCCUUCUGGACUGACACUGACACUGAGGUGCGAAAGCGUGGGUAGCAAACAGGAUUAGAUACCCUGGUAGUC
RNAcentral lists this ribosomal RNA (465 nucleotides) under Vreelandella stevensii. Its description in RNAcentral is "partial 16S ribosomal RNA". It matches the Rfam family "Bacterial small subunit ribosomal RNA", at positions 338 to 795 of the family's 1533-position model. Lineage: Bacteria; Pseudomonadati; Pseudomonadota; Gammaproteobacteria; Oceanospirillales; Halomonadaceae. The record is from RNAcentral.